GUAAACAGGAUGGCCUUGUAAACAGGUGUGACUGUUCGACAGUCAUUCCAUGCACAGCAAUGACAGGAAAAUAUGUGAUCGUAUCAAUAAACGCUUAAAGCAGAAAAAUAUAAAUACCAAUCAUCAGGCAGUAAAGCUGUCAAGCUAACAUGAUAACUCUUCUGGCACCAUGUAGCCUUAAAUCUCCGGGGGAGAGCUGGCUGGGACGGCAGCGCUCAAGGAACAAGCUGCCGACAACCUGGCCGGGCGCGAGGCAGCAGAGGCGAUGCUCCCUGGGGAGCUGGCACCGCCGACCUGCUGCUAUCAGGGAAUGCUGAACAGCAUAAAGCUGAUGGCCUGGAAGGAGACGAAGCGAUGACAGAUCAGAGCUGCUCUGUAGCCUCACCCAAAGGGAAAUGAGACUACUUGCGACCCAAGAGAUGGACGCCAAUGUCUCACAGUGUGCAGAACAAGGUAUUUAUUCAACGACACGGAGUACAGUUAGGAACAUCUCGAAUCAACAGACAGAAACAAGAAGCAGAAUGAUCCAUGCAGCUCUUCACAUUCUGUAUCAAGAAAGGGUAGGUGCAUUUCAGGCCAGACCUGAAGAAAAUGAGAUUAUUACUACAAAAAAAGCUGCUCUGGCUGAACAGAGUACUUGUCUCCAGGAGACAUGGCUCCUAGCAGCUCCACACAAGCCACCCAGCACUAAAUAAAAC
Anas platyrhynchos (mallard) is the source of this 698-nucleotide long non-coding RNA. RefSeq lists it as uncharacterized. The record is from RefSeq and is a predicted model, not a curated record. Lineage: Eukaryota; Metazoa; Chordata; Aves; Anseriformes; Anatidae.